UGCAUCGGCCGGGAAUCGAACCCGGGCCUCCAGCGUGGCAGGCGAGCAUUCUACCACUGAACCACCGAUGU
This 71-nucleotide transfer RNA is filed under the name Cordylochernes scorpioides. Its description in RNAcentral is "tRNA-Gly". The record is from RNAcentral. Lineage: Eukaryota; Metazoa; Arthropoda; Arachnida; Pseudoscorpiones; Chernetidae.